UACGUAGGGUGCAAGCGUUAAUCGGAAUUACUGGGCGUAAAGCGUGCGCAGGCGGUUCGCUAAGACAGAUGUGAAAUCCCCGGGCUUAACCUGGGAAUGGCAUUUGGGACUGCAAGGCUGGAGUACGGCAGAGGAGACUGGAAUUCCUGGUGUAGCAGUGAAAUGCGUAGAGAUCAGGAGGAAUACCGAUGGCGAAGGCAGGUCUCUGGGCUGAUACUGACGCUCAUGCACGAAAGCGUGGGGAGCAAACAGG
RNAcentral lists this ribosomal RNA (253 nucleotides) under uncultured bacterium. Its description in RNAcentral is "partial 16S ribosomal RNA". It matches the Rfam family "Bacterial small subunit ribosomal RNA", at positions 524 to 776 of the family's 1533-position model. The record is from RNAcentral.